This is a long non-coding RNA of Ctenopharyngodon idella (grass carp), 1399 nucleotides long. RefSeq lists it as uncharacterized. The record is from RefSeq and is a predicted model, not a curated record. NCBI's taxonomy places the organism in Eukaryota, Metazoa, Chordata, Actinopteri, Cypriniformes, Xenocyprididae. The transcript is spliced from 4 exons.
UGUACGACCACGCUCACUUGUUCAAUAAAGCUUUGCAUAUGGAUCCCUGCCUGAGUCCAGCUUCGUUACAGAUAUACAUUUAAUACGAUUUUUUUCUUUUUCAGUUACUUAACAGAAAUGUGGAAAAACACAAGAAAAACACCCCGGAUAUUUUCUGCAGAGUCUAUGCCAGCCCUGAAAUUGAGGGUACCUGAACAGCAAGGAAACACUUCUGAGUGUGGCAUAUUUGUAUUACUCUAUGCAGAGAAUUUUCUGAAGGAUCCUCCCAAAGAACUAAUCAAUGAGCUUGACUGUACAUCCUGGUUUACACUAGCCGAUGCAUUUUCAAGGCGUGCACAGAUCAGGGACAAAAUGCGAAGCAGUUUAGAAGGUGUAUUUUUUUUUUUUUAAUUAGAUUUUUUUAUGAACAUUACAGAAUCCUUAUGAAAUUAGUUAAGUUAAAAUAUCUAAAAUCGUGUGCCACAAUUUUCUUAAAUUUUAGGAAGUUAUUUUAAAUACAGCAUAGGGUGCACAAGCAUAACAUUCUGAUGUUUUGAUAUGGCAGAUGAUAUGUAUUUAACUUGUGCUACAUUAAUCUUGUAAUACUGGCGAUUGACUGUGAGUUUUGCUUAUGCAGCACAGAGAAGAGAAGCAGAGGAAAACAAAGCAGAAGAAGGAGAAAGUGAAGAAGAGCAAAUGGUUGACGAGAAAGCGCAAGAGGAAAACAUAGCCAAGGAAAGAAAAAUAGAAGGUAGAGAGGAAGAAAACAUACCUGAGGAAAGAGAAGAGGACAAAACAGCUCAGGGAGGAAACUAUACAGUUCUGGGAAGGCUGUCAGUGCUAGGCACCAAAAGAAAAUACGCAGUCACUCAAGAUGAACUGAAGAGGAGAAUAAAGGCAGAAAACAUGUCAAACAACAUGUUGAGAAGCUUGAUUAGGGUUCGUAAAGAGGAUCUCCCUCAGGAGCUCAGAGAGCAACGGCCAAUAAAAGCCAAGACCAAAAUUAGCAUAUUCUCUGCUUUCAGUGAAGGGGAGGCCACAGAUUUAGCCCAGGAGCUGGGAGCCAUGCUUGGGAGACAUGUAAACCUAGGCAUACUUGCAGGUGUUCCAGGUGCGCAGGCAGACAUUGCAAAGAAUACACUCUGCACUCUCCAGUGUUUGCUCAGAGAAAAAAUGGGAGAAGAAUCAGCUUUUAGUCUGCUGACCCAUACAUUAGGACCACAAGUCAUAGAUGUUGUCAUCUCAUUUUUAAUCAGUUAACGUAGAGGUACAAUGAGCCAGUGAACACAAUAACAAAUGAAUGUUAAAAUUGUUACAAACAUUGUCAUCUCAGUUAAUUAAUGUCACAGUUAAUUGAUUUAAAUAUACAACAUAUCACUGUUAGACAACACAUUCAGACAGCAGAGUAAUGUUAAACGUU